CCUACGGGAGGCAGCAGUGAGGAAUAUUGGUCAAUGGCCGUAAGGCUGAACCAGCCAAGUCGCGUGAAGGAAGAAGGAUCUAUGGUUUGUAAACUUCUUUUAUAGGGGAAUAAAGGUAGGCACGCGGGGAUAGUUGCAUGUACCCUAUGAAUAAGCAUCGGCUAACUCCGUGCCAGCAGCCGCGGUAAUACGGAGGAUGCGAGCGUUAUCCGGAUUUAGUGGGUUUCAAGGGUGCGUAGGUUGUUUUUUAAGUCAGCGGUGAAAGUUUGUGGCUCAACCAUAAAAUUGCCGUUGAAACGGGCAGUCUUGAGUGUGUUUGAGGUAGGCGGAAUGCGUGGUGUAGCGGUGCACUGCUUCGAUCUCACGCAGAACUCCGAUUGCGAAGGCAGCUUCCUACGCCAUAACUGCCACUGCGGCACG
Molecule: ribosomal RNA, 420 nt
Filed under: uncultured bacterium
Lineage: Bacteria
Description: partial 16S ribosomal RNA
Rfam family: Bacterial small subunit ribosomal RNA
Source: RNAcentral